ACUGAUCCCGGACGGUAACCGCGAGCCUCCGCGCUGAAACCGUUUAACUGGUUCAAAAUUUCACCGGCCAAUCCCGAGGCGAGGCUCAGUGACGUAGUGGGUGGGCUGUUCGAUUUGGUGUUUGAGAUCGUGCGCGAGGGGCGGACUCCGACGUUCGGGACCACAGCCAGCGAUGACGCGGAGUGCGGAAUGCUCAAAUCGAGCACACCCAACGGAAAUCAGGGCGGAGUUAGAGCGCGGCUCAGAUUUAAAUCCACCAAUUGGUGUUUGGCAGGAUUUGCUCCGCCCCGCCCACCAUACUAAAACACAUACUGCUGCCUCCCUGCAGGACAUCCAGGAAACAGGCUGCAGGGAUCAGUCUCACAACAAAGGCUGUGGUGGUCCAGAUCACCAAAGUAAGGUCAACACUUGUUAUCUGAUUUGCUUGCUGCUUAACAAAAACCCACAAGAGACAGAAAAUGGAGAAUGGUGUGAUUUGAAUUGUGCGUGGCGGGAGGACUGAUAACGGACCUGAAGC
Dicentrarchus labrax (European seabass) is the source of this 517-nucleotide long non-coding RNA. RefSeq lists it as uncharacterized. The record is from RefSeq and is a predicted model, not a curated record. The transcript has 3 exons. NCBI's taxonomy places the organism in Eukaryota, Metazoa, Chordata, Actinopteri, Moronidae.